RNAcentral lists this ribosomal RNA (215 nucleotides) under uncultured Sphingomonas sp. RNAcentral describes it as "partial 16S ribosomal RNA". The record is from RNAcentral. Lineage: Bacteria; Pseudomonadati; Pseudomonadota; Alphaproteobacteria; Sphingomonadales; Sphingomonadaceae.
ACGAACGCUGGCGGCAUGCCUCAUGCMAGCAAGUCGAACGAGACUCUUUGGGGUCUAGUGGGGCACGGGUGGGUAGCGCGUGGGAAUUUGCCCUUGGGUUCGGAAUAACAUUUGGAAACGACUGGUAAUACCGGAUGAUGUCGAUAAGUCCAAAGAUUUAUCGCCUGAGGAUGAGCCCGCGUUGGAUUAGCUASGUGGUGGGRUAAAGGCCUACC